Molecule: transfer RNA, 86 nt
Filed under: Lachnospiraceae bacterium
Lineage: Bacteria; Bacillati; Bacillota; Clostridia; Lachnospirales; Lachnospiraceae
Description: tRNA-Leu
Rfam family: tRNA
About the family: Transfer RNA (tRNA) molecules are approximately 80 nucleotides in length. Their secondary structure includes four short double-helical elements and three loops (D, anti-codon, and T loops).
Source: RNAcentral
GUUACUAUGGCGGAACAGGCAGACGCUGCGGGCUUAAAACCCGUUGAUUUUAUAUCGCUCCGGUUCGAUCCCGGAUAGUAACACCA